GGGCACCCACUGUCACCUCCCAGUCCCACCUCUCCCCGGUUGUGGCUUCUCUCUGAGGCAAACCCGGCUGGGGCUCCCUCAGGCACAAAGAGAAGUGGCGGGGUGCUCUCUGUAAAGAGGGGACCCCAGAGCGUUGCUGUCCUCCGCCUGGUUGGAGACAGGAAAAGGUGGCGUUUUCCGGCCUUGAGGUCCCCGCCGGCUUGAUUGACCUGGAAAAGGAGUUGGAACCCUGAGGAGUCGCACGCUCCGGGCCGGGCCCCAACCCUGGGACAAAGCUGAGCCCCUCCAGGAGACCUUGGCUUCCCUGAGCGCUCUGGGCUUCAGGUCUUCACCAGGGUGCCCCGAAUCAAUAGCUCUGAAACCUUAGACUAGGGUGCACUUUAAGCCCAGGUUUUAAACCACGGUCAAUGUUAAGGUGAAUUUAAAAAGGAAGCGGACACAACUGUUCGGGAAAGCAAAAUACUUGGGUGGAGUGUUAAAAGCCUCAAAGAAAAUAAUAGUUGGCAGGUUAAACAGCCAUGAGGUCGGAAGUCAAAUUCAAAACCGCAGAAGUGAUACCAGAAUUUUGACAAGCAAAACAGUAGGUGAAGAUAAGGGACCCGGCCCUGUUUCCUUUCUCCAACUGACCGCCUGCUCCCAAGUUGCCUUUGGCAGACACCUGGGUUCCACUCCAGAUUCCUCAGAGUUUUACUUGGGGCUCAUAUUUCAAAAUAUAUGUUCCAUUUGGCACUAAUGUAUACAUUUUAUAUACGGAUUUAUUGAAAAAUAUUAAAUGUUACUGGCCUAGUUAGAUAAAAAGUAUUUUAUAAAUAUUUAUGCACAGCUUUCAUUACAUAUGGCAUUUGAAAAAGUACAAAUACGCAUGUAUAUACAAUGCUGUGUGAAAAUUCCUUUUGCAUGCAUACAUUCCUCACACAUAUGUCUUGUGUGAUUUUUUUUCACUUGUUCUAUUGCUAGCUGCCAUUAAAAGCGGUCCAUUUUCACGUG
Rattus norvegicus (Norway rat) is the source of this 987-nucleotide non-coding RNA. NCBI's taxonomy places the organism in Eukaryota, Metazoa, Chordata, Mammalia, Rodentia, Muridae. The record is from RefSeq and is a predicted model, not a curated record.